GAAGGUGUGCUGUGAGGCAUGCUGGAGGUAUCAGAAGUGCGAAUGCUGACAUAAGUAACGAUAAAGCGGGUGAAAAGCCCGCUCGCCGGAAGACCAAGGGUUCCUGUCCAACGUUAAUCGGGGCAGGGUGAGUCGACCCCUAAGGCGAGGCCGAAAGGCGUAGUCGAUGGGAAACAGGUUAAUAUUCCUGUACUUGGUGUUACUGCGAAGGGGGGACGGAGAAGGCUAUGUCAGCCGGGCGACGGUUGUCCCGGUUUAAGCAUGUAGGCGGAGGUUCCAGGUAAAUCCGGUACCUUGUUAACGCUGAGGUGUGAUGACGAGGCACUACGGUGCUGAAGUGAUAAAUGCCCUGCUUCCAGGAAAAGCCUCUAAGCAUCAGGUAACACGAAAUCGUACCCCAAACCGACACAGGUGGUCAGGUAGAGAAUACCAAGGCGCUUGAGAGAACUCGGGUGAAGGAACUAGGCAAAAUGGUGCCGUAACUUCGGGAGAAGGCACGCUGAUAGGUAGGUGAAGUCCCUGCGGACGGAGCUGAAAUCAGUCGAAGAUACCAGCUGGCUGCAACUGUUUAUUAAAAACACAGCACUGUGCAAACACGAAAGUGGACGUAUACGGUGUGACGCCUGCCCGGUGCCGGAAGGUUAAUUGAUGGGGUUAGCGGCAACGCGAAGCUCUUGAUCGAAGCCCCGGUAAACGGCGGCCGUAACUAUAACGGUCCUAAGGUAGCGAAAUUCCUUGUCGGGUAAGUUCCGACCUGCACGAAUGGCGUAAUGAUGGCCAGGCUGUCUCCACCCGAGACUCAGUGAAAUUGAACUCGCUGUGAAGAUGCAGUGUACCCGCGGCAAGACGGAAAGACCCCGUGAACCUUUACUAUAGCUUGACACUGAACACUGGUCCUUGAUGUGUAGGAUAGGUGGGAGGCUUUGAAGCGUGGACGCCAGUCUGCGUGGAGCCAACCUUGAAAUACCACCCUUUAAUGGCUGGUGUUCUAACGUAGACCCGUAAUCCGGGUUGCGGACAGUGUCUGGUGGGUAGUUUGACUGGGGCGGUCUCCUCCCAAAGAGUAACGGAGGAGCACGAAGGUUGGCUAAUCCUGGUCGGACAUCAGGAGGUUAGUGCAAUGGCAUAAGCCAGCUUGACUGCGAGCGUGACGGCGCGAGCAGGUGCGAAAGCAGGUCAUAGUGAUCCGGUGGUUCUGAAUGGAAGGGCCAUCGCUCAACGGAUAAAAGGUACUCCGGGGAUAACAGGCUGAUACCGCCCAAGAGUUCAUAUCGACGGCGGUGUUUGGCACCUCGAUGUCGGCUCAUCACAUCCUGGGGCUGAAGUAGGUCCCAAGGGUAUGGCUGUUCGCCAUUUAAAGUGGUACGCGAGCUGGGUUUAGAACGUCGUGAGACAGUUCGGUCCCUAUCUGCCGUGGGCGCUGGAGAAUUGAGGGGGGCUGCUCCUAGUACGAGAGGACCGGAGUGGACGCAUCACUGGUGUUCGGGUUGUCAUGCCAAUGGCACU
This 1506-nucleotide ribosomal RNA is filed under the name Enterobacter hormaechei. RNAcentral's name for it is "partial 23S ribosomal RNA". It matches the Rfam family "Bacterial large subunit ribosomal RNA", at positions 1252 to 2739 of the family's 2925-position model. Lineage: Bacteria; Pseudomonadati; Pseudomonadota; Gammaproteobacteria; Enterobacterales; Enterobacteriaceae. The record is from RNAcentral.